GUAGUACUCCCUCUGUCCGGAAAUACUUGUCAUCAAAAUGAAUAAAAGGGGAUGUAUCUAGAUGUAUAUUAGUUCUAGAUACAUCUUUUUUAUCCAUUUUGAUGACAAGUAUUUUCGGACGGAGGGAGUACUUG
Triticum aestivum (bread wheat) is the source of this 134-nucleotide non-coding RNA. The record is from Rfam. NCBI's taxonomy places the organism in Eukaryota, Viridiplantae, Streptophyta, Magnoliopsida, Poales, Poaceae.